This is a non-coding RNA of Cordylochernes scorpioides, 5657 nucleotides long. The record is from the annotation of a GenBank genome assembly. NCBI's taxonomy places the organism in Eukaryota, Metazoa, Arthropoda, Arachnida, Pseudoscorpiones, Chernetidae.
AGUAAAAUGUAUAUAGUAUAUAGUAAAAAUGGAUAAAAUAAAAGAGGGAUAAAGUAAAAGAGUAAAAUAUAUACAGUUAUGUACAGUCGAGGAGAUUCCCCCAACGACAGAGAGUCCUCCUCCAGACAGUAAGGGGGUUUUCACGUUCUCCCCUCAUCUCAAGGCUCAGAAAGAACCUGUGUAUGGAUGACUUGGCAGACGCGAGGAUGGCGAGGGCGUCGUCAUCCAGUCCUUGACCAAAGAGCCAGCCCUGCAGGUCGGGUGGUUGCUGUAUGAUGUUGAAGGCCUCCCGUAUGAGGGGCCUGAUGGAGCUGCAGGACCAAUAGCGGUGGGCCAACGUCAGGUCGCUAGAGCCACAGGCGAUACAGGUCUCUCGAGCAGAGGCCGGAUGUGCAGGAUGGGGAAGAGCGUGCAGGGCCAGCUGUACUGCAAUGUCGGCAUUGUGCCCUGAAAAGGCGCAACGUCGAAGCGAUGGCCAGCCGACGGUGAGAGGAAUAUUGACAGUCUUGCCAACGGUACAGAAGCUGGGCGAUGGGCAGGGUUGCCAGGCGUGGUCGCUCAAUUGUACGGCGGAUGGUGCGGGUAGUUACGCGCAUGAGCGGAGUCACCAUUCCGCGUAGCACCACAGCUUCGCCUAGGUUGUCCGCCCGGUGGGACCCUAGGAGGUUUUCUUCAAUCAGCCUAUUGCAGAAGUUGGCCAACGCUGUGGCGUCUGCAAGAGCGCAACGGGUCAGACGAGUGAGCUGUGACACAGGGCCAUCGAAGUCCCCGAUACGUGCUCCUAUCCACCGUGCAGCGGCUAGGAGGUCAGGUGGCCGGAGGAACCUGCAUCCUCCGAUUAUGGCGAGGUCCCUCAGCUGUUGUGUUGGAACUAUCCGGUGGUCCAGUGCUAGGAAGUCUGAAACUGCUUCCCAUAUCUUCAUUAGUCUACGACAUCGAGGUGGAAGCCAUGUCCCGGAUGGAAGGGGAGUUAACCAGGCCCCACUAUCAGUGAGCCAAGAGUAGGCGUUGAGACUUCCACGAAGCGAAGCUUGGACACCUUCCAUACACGCCAGUCUCAGCUGCGUGCCGACGUCGAGGAGGCCGAAGCCACCCAUGGAGACAAGGCGUGCUAGAACACCUCCCGGCAGCCAGGCGGUGCGCCCAGGUCCCCAGACGAAACGCACCAGUCGAGCUUGGAGCUUAGAGAUGGUGGAGUCGGUAGGCAGGUAUCCGUGAAGAUGGUGUACCACUGAGGAGAGCACCAGGGAGUUUGAAGAAGUUUUAAAAGCAUCCAUAUCUCUCUUUUUUAAAAAGCAUGAAUUAAUUGAAAGGAAUCAAUAUUUUUACAAUGCAAUUUUGCUUGAUCAAAAUGUGUGAAUUUCCACGAAAGGUUUAUCUGUAUUUUUCUAAAAUCUAAACAUUCUUUUAUAAUCUAUUUUCAUAAUGAAAAAAUAGAGCUUAACAUGCGUAAACAAUUUUAUUAACACUUACAGCCCGGCGGACGUAUAUUUACGUCCCGCAUCUUUAAAAAUCGGUAUAAAAUCGGCCGUUAAAGUACGUUCCUCUGGAUUCUGGGUACAACGUCCUUGAAGUGUCCAUCAACAAUUGGCUAGUUGCUAACACGUGUUCCUCUCCUCCCUUCCCCCCAGAUUCCAUUUUUGUGACUCAUAUACCCACGUGCGGUCAUUUGUUUAUCUUCUACUGUUUCCUUGACGUAGAGUGCUGCUAUCUUUUUUGUUCUUCAUUCGCUCGCUCUAAAAAUGGAUCCCAACAUGCCCAGUACCUCAGGAAUUGAUAUAUUCAAUGUUCCUGAAGCUGAUGAAGAGUUGGAGGAUUAUUUCUUAGCAGAUUCUGGGUCUGAACUAGAUGAUUCUAUUGAAGAUCCUCAAUUUACUUUGGAAGGUCUAGAAUCUGAUACAACUGAAAUUUAUUAUGAAGAAAGUGAGGAAGAGGUAACUAUUUUUUAUUUUUCUCUCAUCAUAUUCAUAUAUUUCAACUUUUUUUUUUUUUAGCAAAUAAGACAACCUACCCCUGAAGAUGAAGGAUGGACCGAGGUAAGAUUACCUUUGGAAAAGCCUACAUUUUCUGGAACCUCUGGACCGAAGGCAGCUUUCUUUCCUGGAACUCUCUCUCCCUAUUCAGUAUUCAAGCAGUUUUUUGAUGAAUUGUUUAGAACGAUAAAGUUGGAAACCAACAAAUAUGCAAGGAUGGUGAUUGAUAAAGAGAGAAAGAAAGGCCCUUUGAAUCCUAGAGGGUUGUUGGCAAAGUGGAAAGCUGUUUCAAUUGCUGAAUUGAAGAUAUUUUUGGCAAUAAUCAUUCAUAUGAGCCUUGUAGUAAAACCAAGGCUAAGAGAAUAUUGGUCAAACCACAUUGGAAUGAGGACAGCUUUCUGCAAAUCGACUGGAAUGGCAAGGGAAAGAUUUGAGGCCAUUUUAUCAAUGCUCCAUCUGAAUGAUAAUAUGCUAUAUAUUCCACAUGGACAACCAGGAUAUGAUCCAAUUUACAAGAUAAGAACCUUAUUUGAUUCCCUUGUCAAUAAAUUCCGAACCUGGUACUCGCCUGAUGAAAAUUUGACAAUUGAUGAGGCCAUUUGUCCUUUUCGUGGACGGGCUCAUUUCCGAGUAUAUAUAAAGGGCAAACCUCAUAAAUAUGGGAUCAAGAUUUAUGAGAUUUGUGAAUCAAGUACAGGGUAUACCUGUAACAUGGAUAUAUAUACUGGAAGGCAUCCUCAUCAAGACCUUCAAUAUAAUUCUAUAUUGAGCUUAGUUGACAGGAUUGCUGAACCUUACUACCAGAAAGGCCACAUCAUCUAUUUCGAUAGGUGGUUUUCCUCUCCCCAACUUUUCAAUCAUUUAUGGGAAAAGAUAACACUUGCAGUAGGAACAGUCAGGCAUAACAGAAAGGGAUUGCCAAAAAAAGCUUUCUCGAAAAAACUGAAAAAAGGUGAAAGCCUCUUUUGUCAAAACAGUCAGCUUCUCGCAUUGAAAUGGCGUGACACCAGGGAUGUCUUUAUGAUAGCAACAACCCAAGAUUCCAGCAUGAUCCAGCCUCAAACCAUUUCGAUAACCAAACCUGCUAUUGUAGUUGACUACAAUAAAAACAAGGCUGGUGUCGAUAGAAGUGACCAAUUUAUGGCAUAUUAUCCUUUUCAUCGCCGUACCCUAAAGUAGUGGAAAAAGUUUUUCUUACAUUUUCGGCCUCACUAUUGUCAAUAGCCAUAUUGUAUAUAAUAAAUUGACCACGGGUCGAAAAAUGCCACUUAGAAAAUAACAUUUGGCUAUCAUGGAAAAGUUGAUGGAAGAAGCAGGUACAGAAAUUUUGAAUGAACAGCCAAGUGCAUCUGGAUCAUCAGAGAGGCUGAUUGGAAAACAUUUCCUCACCAAAAUCCCUGCUACUGGCAAGACCACCAUCCAGAAGAGGUGCAAAGUUUGCUCUGACAAAGGAAAAAGAUCUUCUGGUAAAAGAGUGAGGAAGGACACCAGCUAUAUGUGUGAGACCUGUCUGGUUCCUUUAUGCAUUGCUGACUGUUUCAAGGCCUUUCACACAAAAGAGAGCUACUGGGAGUGAUUUAUAUUAAAGUUUGAUUCCUCGUCAAUCUUUUCCUCAGAAAAAAAUUCGUCAUGUAUAUUAUUUUUAUAUAUUUGAUUUAUGGAGUGGAUUUGGUCAAUUUGUAUUUUUUAUCUCUCUUUUAUGUACAUAUCUCUUAUAAUUAACAUGUAUAAUCUUAAAUUUACAUUUAACAAUAAUUUUGAAGUGUAUUUUAUUGAUUCUCAUUAAAAUAUUUUAUAAAUAUCGAGUUCUUAAUGAUUUAUGAAUUUUUAAAAAACACUCAAAAUGGAACGUCCCGGGAGAUUACAUCAUACCUGUACUUACGACCUUCAAGUGUUAACACUUUGAGCCCAUGAGAAAAAGAAGGGCAAAUUCCGCUGGGACGCGCAUUUUUUGAUUGUUGUUAAAAAAUUCAUAAAUCACAAAAUUGAUGACUUACAUUAAUUAUUUUAUUUGCAACUACUUAUAUACCCUUUCUAGUAACUUAUAAGACUGCAAAAUCUUUUUUAUAAAUGAUUAAAAAAUUAAUAUGAGACAUUUAAAAUAGGUAAAAAUAUACAAAAAAUCGAAUUCACUCCAUAAUAUAUGGUUGCAAAAAUAUAUGUAUAUAACAUAUCUAGAUAAAGAAAAUAAAAAAUAUGUAGGGAAAUAAAGAAAUCAAAUAAUAUUGAGAUUAAGCUCAAAAAUUUUCUUUGGUGUGGUAAAUCUUGAACCAGUCAACUAGACAAAGUGGGACCAAACAGGUCUCACACAUAUAUGCAGUAUCCUUCCUUGCUCUAUUUCCUGUUUUUCUUUUUCCUUUUUCGGAAAAGACUUUACAUUUUCUCUGAAUAUAUGGCCUUCUUUCCCUUCCACUUUGAUUCUGGUUAUGAAAUGUUUCCCCAAAUGCCUAUCUGGAGAGCCAGAAGCACCUUGCUGCUCAUCCAACAUUUCAACACCUGCCUCUUCAACUAAUUUUUCUAAAAUUCUCAAAUUGAAUUCUCUAGGUUCAAUUUCUUGUCCUGGUUCAAUUUAUUGUAAAUAAUUUGUGAAUUUACGAUACCAAGGUUGAAAAGGUGCAAAAAUACCUUUUUCCACCACUUCAUUGUCCUACGAUAGAAAGGGUAAUAGGACAUGUAUUGAUCACUUCGAUCAACACCAGCUUUAUUUUUGUUGUAAUCAACAACCACUGCUGGUUUCAUUGUUAGCUCUGGUUCUGGAGUUCUUUUAGAUAGUAUUAGAUAGUUGCAUCUGAACCAUAUUAUCCAAAAUAAAAUCUGGAUCAAUAACAGAAUCAUCCAAUUCUGAACCAGAAUCUUGAAAAUAUUCAUCACCAAACUCCUCAGAUUCUGUAAUUGGAGCUAUUCCCGAGGUACUGGGUUGAUCAAGAUCCAUUUUAGAAGCGAGCGCAAAAAAAAAAAUGACAAUAAAUAAAAUAACAACCGUCCAGGAAGCUAACGGUAGAAGGAGGAAACAUGAGGAGAAGUGACGUCAUGGAAAAAUCCCCCAACGGGACCCCUUUCACCCUCCCCCGCGUGUGACCUUGAGCGCUGACGUAGACAAAUGAUGCAGCUAUUUGAUGGCAGAAGCCCGAAGGACGUGAAUUUUGCCACGAUUUAUAUUGAAUUUUGAAGUUUCAGGACGUGGAUCCACGUCCUGCGGGCUUUAGGCUUAUAUUGCUUGGACGUGGAUCCACAUCCUACGGGCUCAAUGUGUUAAUUUUAAGGUUAACAGACAUUUUUGUUCAAAUUAAGAAUAAUGAAGUAAGGAAAAGAGAUAGAUAUGAACAAAAAAUAUUUAAUAGACUCAAUUUUUAUAUAUAUAAUAAAAUGAAUAUAAAUAUAAAAAUGAAUGUAUGUGGGUGUGUGUGUGUCUGUCCUUUAUGCCUGACCAAACCACCCAUUGGAACACCAUGAAACUUUGGGAAGUUAUUUAGUAUAGUACUGGGAAGGUUUUUGAAAAAUAAUUUCUCGAAUAUCCUUAGAGUUAUUUGCAGAUUUGUAGAUUUAACUCGAAAGCAGCGCCCCGAUUGCAACGAUGAUAACAAGUUUUUUAUCUAUAAGUUUUAUUAUCACUAAGUUUAUUAUCUUAAAGAUUAUUUAUCAAAAGUAAGAUUUUCUACCUAUUAAUUGCGCAUAAGUCAAAGU